GCGCUCGUAGCUCAGUUGGAUAGAGUGCUGGCCUCCGAAGCCAGAGGUCGUGGGUUCGAAUCCCGCCGAGCGCGCCA
Molecule: transfer RNA, 77 nt
Filed under: Thiotrichales bacterium
Lineage: Bacteria; Pseudomonadati; Pseudomonadota; Gammaproteobacteria; Thiotrichales
Description: tRNA-Arg
Rfam family: tRNA
About the family: Transfer RNA (tRNA) molecules are approximately 80 nucleotides in length.
Source: RNAcentral